GAUGAACGCUGGCGGCGUGCCUAAUACAUGCAAGUCGAGCGAACAGAUAAGGAUCUUGCUCCUUUGACGUUAGCGGCGGACGGGUGAGUAACACGUGGAUAACCUACCUAUAAGACUGGGAUAACUUCGGGAAACCGGAGCCAAUACCGGAUAACAUAUUGAACCGCAUGGUUCAAUAGUGAAAGGCGGCUUUGCUGUCACUUAUAGAUGGAUCCGCGCCGUAUUAGCUAGUUGGUAAGGUAACGGCGUACCAAGGCAACGAUACGUAGCCGACCUGAGAGGGUGAUCAGCCACACUGGAACUGAGACACGGUCCAGACUCCUACGGGAGGCAGCAGUAGGGAAUCUUGGACAAUGGGCGAAAGCCUGACGGAGCAACGCCGCGUGAGUGAUGAAGGUCUUCGGAUCGUAAAACUCUGUUAUCAGGGAAGAACAAAAGUGUAAGUAACUGUGCACAUCUUGACGGUACCUGAUCAGAAAGCCCCGGCUAACUACGUG
This 497-nucleotide ribosomal RNA is filed under the name uncultured bacterium. RNAcentral's name for it is "partial 16S ribosomal RNA". It matches the Rfam family "Bacterial small subunit ribosomal RNA", at positions 28 to 507 of the family's 1533-position model. The record is from RNAcentral.